GAUGAACGCUAGCGGGAGGCUUAACACAUGCAAGUCGAGGGGCAUCACGAGGUAGCAAUACUUUGGUGGCGACCGGCGCACGGGUGAGUAACGCGUAUGCAACCUACCCUGUACAGUAGGAUAACCCGGAGAAAUUCGGACUAAUACCGCAUAAAGAUAUUUUGAGGCAUCUUAAGAUAUUUAAAGCUUAGGUGGUACGGGAUGGGCAUGCGUAACAUUAGCUGGUUGGUAGGGUAACGGCCUACCAAGGCGAUGAUGUUUAGGGGACCUGAGAGGGUGAUCCCCCACACUGGUACUGAGACACGGACCAGACUCCUACGGGAGGCAGCAGUGAGGAAUAUUGGUCAAUGGGCGGAAGCUUGAACCAGCCAUCCCGCGUGCAGGAAGACAGCCCUAUGGGUUGUAAACUGCUUUUCCAGUGGGCGAAACACCCGUACGUGUACGAGAUUGACGGUACACUGGGAAUAAGCAUCGGCUAACUCCGUGCCAGCCGCCGCCGUAA
This 502-nucleotide ribosomal RNA is filed under the name uncultured bacterium. RNAcentral describes it as "partial 16S ribosomal RNA". It matches the Rfam family "Bacterial small subunit ribosomal RNA", at positions 28 to 523 of the family's 1533-position model. The record is from RNAcentral.